UACGUAGGGGGCUAGCGUUGUCCGGAAUCAUUGGGCGUAAAGGGUGCGUAGGCGGCGCGGUAAGUCGGGUGUGAAAUCUCGGAGCUUAACUCCGAAACUGCAUUCGAUACUGCUGCGCUAGAGUACUGGAGAGGAGAUUGGAAUUUACGGUGUAGCGGUGAAAUGCGUAGAUAUCGUAAGGAAGACCAGUGGCGAAGGCGGGUCUCUGGACAGUUCCUGACGCUGAGGCACGAAGGCCAGGGGAGCAAACGGG
This 253-nucleotide ribosomal RNA is filed under the name uncultured bacterium. RNAcentral's name for it is "partial 16S ribosomal RNA". It matches the Rfam family "Bacterial small subunit ribosomal RNA", at positions 524 to 776 of the family's 1533-position model. The record is from RNAcentral.